RNAcentral lists this ribosomal RNA (253 nucleotides) under uncultured bacterium. RNAcentral describes it as "partial 16S ribosomal RNA". It matches the Rfam family "Bacterial small subunit ribosomal RNA", at positions 524 to 776 of the family's 1533-position model. The record is from RNAcentral.
UACGUAGGGUGCGAGCGUUGUCCGGAAUUAUUGGGCGUAAAGAGCUUGUAGGCGGUUUGUCGCGUCUGCUGUGAAAAUCCGGGGCUCAACCCCGGACUUGCAGUGGGUACGGGCAGACUAGAGUGUGGUAGGGGAGACUGGAAUUCCUGGUGUAGCGGUGAAAUGCGCAGAUAUCAGGAGGAACACCGAUGGCGAAGGCAGGUCUCUGGGCCACUACUGACGUUGAGAAGCGAAAGCAUGGGGAGCGAACAGG